AUACGUAGGGGGCGAGCGUUGUCCGGAAUGAUUGGGCGUAAAGGGCGCGUAGGCGGCCCGGUAAGUCUGGAGUGAAAGUCCUGUUUUUAAGAUGGGAAUUGCUUUGGAUACUGUCGGGCUUGCGUGCAGGAGAGGUAAGUGGAAUUCCCAGUGUAGCGGUGAAAUGCGUAGAGAUUGGGAGGAACACCAGUGGCGAAGGCGACUUACUGGACUGUAACUGACGCUGAGGCGCGAAAGUGUGGGGAGCAAACAGGAUUAGAUUCCCUGGUAGUCCACACUGUAAACGAUGAAUGCUAGGUGUAGGGGGUAUCGACCCCUUCUGUGCCGCAGUCAACACAAUAAGCAUUCCGCCUGGGGAGUACGGCCGCAAGGUUGAAACUCAAAUGAAUUGACGGGG
RNAcentral lists this ribosomal RNA (397 nucleotides) under uncultured bacterium. RNAcentral describes it as "partial 16S ribosomal RNA". It matches the Rfam family "Bacterial small subunit ribosomal RNA", at positions 523 to 918 of the family's 1533-position model. The record is from RNAcentral.